This 1256-nucleotide unclassified non-coding RNA is filed under the name Leishmania donovani. Its description in RNAcentral is "gene:LdHU3.36.4780(CDS-product:hypothetical_prote in_conserved)". Lineage: Eukaryota; Euglenozoa; Kinetoplastea; Trypanosomatida; Trypanosomatidae. The record is from RNAcentral.
GCAGUAAGAGCAAGGAGUCUUGCGUCACCAAGGCUGCCGCUCCUCGCUCUCCCAUACGCUCACAUCGCGUAGUCAUCUGCAGAUCUGUUGACCUUUGCGCGCCUGGACGGGCACGGCGGCGCUACAACGCAGUGAUGCUGCGGCUUACUCAAGCGGUGCUGCGUGUGCAGUCGCAUCAGAAGAAACGCGCGCAGCACCCUAAUGCGGGUACGCGUUACGGCCGCGUGUACAACCGCGGCUUUGUGCGUUACGGCUUUGGUGGCUUUGGUAUGUCUGUCUACAGCCCCAAGAAGGACCGCACCUUCAAGGUGAUGCCGGUGCCACCACCACCACCAGCCACCACUAGCGUGGAGCAGCGAGACGACUUUGCCGACAACCGCGGCCUUUCCGCAACGACGCGCACGUUGUCUCCAACAUUUCGCAUGUUUGCUCUCGAGGACGGCGGCGUCUUCGUGUCGCACCCAUCGCACGCGCAGAUUAUGCGGUGGAAUCAACGUGUGCACACCGAGGAGGGCAAGGCAGCGAACAGCACUGUCAUGGAUGAGUAUGUCAACUCGCGCAUUCAGGCCAUCAUCGCUGACAACACGAUCGAAAACACGUCCCUUAGUCAGUGGCGCAAGGCGCAUAUGUGGAACGUUAUCAAGUCUCACGGCAAGCUGCAGCGUCGCUGGGGCACGCCGGACUUCGUCACGGGUGCCCGCUCGACCUUGUACAACAACUGAUGGACUGUUCGAGGUGAGGCUGUUGACGUUCUUUUCUCUCGUUCUCCUCCUCCUGCCUUGUCGGUGUUUUGUAUGGGGUGCUUGUGGGUUUGCAUGUGUAUGCUGCAGCGCGCGUUACCUUUUUUUUUUGUAGGGGACUGCGUAGUUGUUCCGACAGGCAUGGGAGAUCCACAUCUCUAAGGCUGCAUGCAUGUGAAGUGCCAGUCACGCACACACACAUAUAUAUAUAUGGGGGGAGGCGAGGCGAGGCGAUCGGUGUUCGCAGACGCUGAUGCGGACGGCUGACGCAAGAGCGCUGUGAUGUAGAGAGCACGCCGCGCUCUCGAGCUUUGCGAACCUCGAAAAAAAAAAGAAGAGAGCCGACAUGCUUCUGUUUGGCUCUCGUGCAAGGGAUACUGGAAACCAUCUGUGCACGUCACCAUUCCCUCGUGCGUAGCGUGAGCACCCGUGCGCUGGCACAUAGGCUGCUGAUCCUACCUCUUCUCUGGCACCCCCUCCCCCUUCCUUCCUUCCCUCUCUCUCGGGCACAACUAG